GAUAGCUCAGUCAGUAGAGCGCGAGACUCUUAAACUCAAGGUCACAGGUUCAAGCCCCAUGUUGGGCA
Molecule: transfer RNA, 68 nt
Filed under: Podarcis lilfordi (Lilford's wall lizard)
Lineage: Eukaryota; Metazoa; Chordata; Lepidosauria; Squamata; Lacertidae
Description: tRNA.Lys
Source: RNAcentral